AGACCCGAAACCCGGUGAUCUAGCCAUGGGCAGGUUGAAGGUUGGGUAACACUAACUGGAGGACCGAACCGACUAAUGUUGAAAAAUUAGCGGAUGACCUGUGGCUGGGGGUGAAAGGCCAAUCAAACCGGGAGAUAGCUGGUUCUCCCCGAAAGCUAUUUAGGUAGCGCCUCGUGAAUUCAUCUCCGGGGGUAGAGCACUGUUUCGGCUAGGGGGCCAUCCCGGCUUACCAACCCGAUGCAAACUGCGAAUACCGGAGAAUGUUAUCACGGGAGACACACGGCGGGUGCUAACGUCCGUCGUGAAGAGGGAAACAACCCAGACCGCCAGCUAAGGUCCCAAAGUCAUGGUUAAGUGGGAAACGAUGUGGGAAGGCCCAGACAGCCAGGAUGUUGGCUUAGAAGCAGCCAUCAUUUAAAGAAAGCGUAAUAGCUCACUGGUCGAGUCGGCCUGCGCGGAAGAUGUAACGGGGCUAAACCAUGCACCGAAGCUGCGGCAGCGACGCUGAUGCGUUGUUGGGUAGGGGAGCGUUCUGUAAGCCUGUGAAGGUGUGUCGUGAGGCAUGCUGGAGGUAUCAGAAGUGCGAAUGCUGACAUAAGUAACGAUAAAGCGGGUGAAAAGCCCGCUCGCCGGAAGACCAAGGGUUCCUGUCCAACGUUAAUCGGGGCAGGGUGAGUCGACCCCUAAGGCGAGGCCGAAAGGCGUAGUCGAUGGGAAACGGGUUAAUAUUCCCGUACUUGGUGUUACUGCGAAGGGGGGACGGAGAAGGCUAUGUUGGCCGGGCGACGGUUGUCCCGGUUUAAGCGUGUAGGUGUGUGUUCCAGGUAAAUCCGGUUCACUUUAACACUGAGGCGUGACGACGAGGCACUACGGUGCUGAAGCAACAAAUGCCCUGCUUCCAGGAAAA
This 907-nucleotide ribosomal RNA is filed under the name Salmonella enterica subsp. enterica. RNAcentral's name for it is "partial 23S ribosomal RNA". It matches the Rfam family "Bacterial large subunit ribosomal RNA", at positions 711 to 1616 of the family's 2925-position model. RNAcentral also lists the same sequence under 1 other name. The record is from RNAcentral. Lineage: Bacteria; Pseudomonadati; Pseudomonadota; Gammaproteobacteria; Enterobacterales; Enterobacteriaceae.